AUCUCAUGGAUAAGUUGGUUAGAGUGUGGUGCUGAUAACGCCAAGGUUGUAGGUUCAAUCCCCAUAUGGGACA
Molecule: non-coding RNA, 73 nt
Organism: Podarcis lilfordi (Lilford's wall lizard)
Lineage: Eukaryota; Metazoa; Chordata; Lepidosauria; Squamata; Lacertidae
Source: the annotation of a GenBank genome assembly